GGGCGGUUAGCUCAGCGGGAGAGCGCUUCCCUGACACGGAAGAGGUCACUGGUUCAAUCCCAGUACCGCCCA
RNAcentral lists this transfer RNA (72 nucleotides) under Streptosporangiaceae bacterium. RNAcentral describes it as "tRNA-Val". It matches the Rfam family "tRNA". Rfam says of the family: Transfer RNA (tRNA) molecules are approximately 80 nucleotides in length. Their secondary structure includes four short double-helical elements and three loops (D, anti-codon, and T loops). Further hydrogen bonds mediate the characteristic L-shaped molecular structure. tRNAs have two regions of fundamental functional importance: the anti-codon, which is responsible for specific mRNA codon recognition, and the 3' end, to which the tRNAs corresponding amino acid is attached (by aminoacyl-tRNA synthetases). tRNAs cope with the degeneracy of the genetic code in two manners: having more than one tRNA (with a specific anti-codon) for a particular amino acid; and 'wobble' base-pairing, i.e. permitting non-standard base-pairing at the 3rd anti-codon position. Lineage: Bacteria; Bacillati; Actinomycetota; Actinomycetes; Streptosporangiales; Streptosporangiaceae. RNAcentral also lists the same sequence under 3 other names. The record is from RNAcentral.